UGCUACAAACAAUCAAUCAUUUGCGGGAAUUCUUCAACAUCUCUCGAUGGCAUAUAUUAUUAUCAUCAGCAUAUGUUUUCUUGUCGGAUCGUUGGCGCUAACCAUUAAUCCUAAAAGCUCGAGCUGUUAGAAAUACGCAACCAAUUCACUUAAAGUGUAUAAAUACAGCGCUCACGGAUCUCGAUUGUGACUCGGCCCACCCAACCUUAUGCCACUUCGAACAUGACUCAGUCCAACCCGACCUCACGCCAUUUCGAACGUGACUCGACCCACUUGGCCUCCCGCCACUGUGACACCCCAAUAGUCCCACAUCGGAUGAGAAUAGGAUUGUCAUUGGGUAUAUGAGAGGACUCCACACUAGUAAUAAUAACGGGGCUUAAGUAUUUUGGGCCAAUGGUUUGGACCCAAUAAGUUAUUAUUGCUAACAGGUUAGAUCGUUACAUUUGGUAUCGGAAGUGUGAGAUGAGUCUUGGCUGAGUCAGGCUCGGAAUGACAGACUAAGCCGAGAUCGGUGAAUGACAGGCUAAGUCAGGAUCGGAAUGACAAGGCUAGCGAGACAAUAAGGACAUCACACCCGAUAGUCCCACAAUAGAUGGGAAGGAGUUAGUAUUUUGUGUUUGAACCCAACGAAUUAUUAUUGCAUAUUGCUAGCGGGUCAGGUCGUUACAGCUAUAGGGCAGGAUGCUGGUCCAUUUAAGCCAACAUUUCUUUCUUCAUCAUCACUAUUUUUUUUUUUCACUCAA
Molecule: long non-coding RNA, 743 nt
Filed under: Ananas comosus (pineapple)
Lineage: Eukaryota; Viridiplantae; Streptophyta; Magnoliopsida; Poales; Bromeliaceae
Description: long non-coding RNA (ACOM_LNC032685)
Source: RNAcentral